This 842-nucleotide long non-coding RNA is filed under the name Homo sapiens (human). Its description in RNAcentral is "novel transcript". Lineage: Eukaryota; Metazoa; Chordata; Mammalia; Primates; Hominidae. The record is from RNAcentral.
AGAGUCAAGACAUCAACACAUGAAUCAGACAGGAUGAGAGGAGGAUAAGGCUAAAGACAGAGGCUCCAGCUACCUUGGUGACAAGGAAUGGAGGAGAAAAGGAACAGGAAAUUUUAAUAAGAUUAGGAGGGCUUGCUUUUCUGCCAAGUGAGUCACAGAUUUAGCGUGAUGUUGAGCCCCACAGCCUGAUAACAGAGAGUAUAAUGAUGAUUAUUGCGUCAAUAAAUUUUUUUUUUGAGAUGGAGACUCACUCUGUCACCCCGGCUGCAGUGCAGUGGUGUGAUCUCAGCUCACUGCAACCCCUGCCUCCCAGGUUCUAGUGAGUCUCCUGCCUCAGCCUCCCGAGCAGCUGGGACUACAGCCGCUUUCACAGGAGCGAUAAAUUGGAAAUGUUAUCUGGCUUGAUAUGCCAGUUUUUCUGAGAAAAUCACUCUGCCAGUGGUGACAGAAUGGAAGAGCUGAAAACAUCUUCUUUUUUCAAAGUCAUAUGUCACGAACCAAGGAGACUCCAAAAAAUAAAUUAUGGAAGAUUAUGACCACUGCUGCCAAGGAUACAGUGAAAUAGAUCCAUUAAAGAAUUGAGAUUGCAGGACACACUACCACCCUGAAAACUGGAGAGAGGAAAAAUACAGAGAGGAAGCAGAUCAGCUUACCUGAAGCAGAGGCCGCUGGAAUCUGUGACAGGUCCGAGGAAGUUCCUGAGAUAACUUUGUGAGUGGUCCACUAUUUCUGCAUUUCACAGCAUUGCUAUACUCCAAACUUUGUUCUACUCAUUGUUCAACUCAAUGCCUUGAACCUGGCAUAUAAUAGAUGCUGAAUACAUGAGUUAUAAUUGAAAACAA